CCACGGGAAAAUUUCGACUGAAUUUAUUAUGAGUUGAACGAUUCCAGUAAUAGUAAUUACAAAUGCUUUCAUCAUGAUGUUUACCAAAAAAAUAAAAGAAAAAAGGCUUUCAUCAUGACCAAUUAGAUGCAUUGCCCUUGAGGAGAGGUAUUCUUUUUUGUCAAGUUCCUCUUCUUUACGCCAUCUUGUCGAAUUGCUCAGGGUUCGGGUUGUAACUUUCGCACGAAAGAAUUAUAUAUAAGAAUGGUCUUUCUUCCUUCACGACGUCAAUCGUUUAAUCGCCUCUUGCACAGCUCCAUCCCCUUGACCGCGCAGAUCUC
RNAcentral lists this long non-coding RNA (320 nucleotides) under Elaeis guineensis (African oil palm). Its description in RNAcentral is "long non-coding RNA (EGUI_LNC049827)". Lineage: Eukaryota; Viridiplantae; Streptophyta; Magnoliopsida; Arecales; Arecaceae. The record is from RNAcentral.